ACUAGAAAUAAAAUCAUUAAGUUCAAUGAAAGAUAUAGAUAAUAGAUGUCUAACCUCAGGAAGCCUGGCAGAAAGGUGUCUUAUAUAAGCAAUGUCCGCUUUCUUUAGUUGGAACCUAGAAGUUUAUUGACACAAAUCCAAAAUUCUUAGAACUUUGAACCUAACAAUGAUCUUAUAGCCUAAAACUUCACAACCAUCAUAUCAAAAUCAAAAGGCAGAGUAGUAUGCUUUAUCAAAUAGAAAAUCAAAGAAAUAGAAGCUCACCCAAUAAAGUUAGAUAUCAGAAAGCUUUAUCAAAUAGUGGACCACAUCAAACUAAUUCUUUGAAAGCUACAAGACAAGCUUGUAACUCUUUUCAAAAAAUAUUACAGCCAAGGAACCAGAAAAUUCAUCACUUAGUGUUCAAACUUGAAUGAAGCAUAACUAAUAACACUAACAAGAAAAGAAGCUACUCACGAGUCAUGUGUUCAAACUUGAAUGAAGCAUAACUAAUAACACUAACAAGAAAAGAAGCUACUCAUGAGUCAUGUCUACGGGAGUAAUAUUCAGAAGUUUCAGAAUUAAAAAUAAACAUGAUAAACAAAAAAAAAAUUAUGAGCUACAUACACUUAAGUACAUGGUUACUUACACAAUAUGAGUGAUAACAGUUCGACACAUCAAAUACGCUUCAAGGCCAUCAAACAGCUGAAUGACUACGAUAAAAUGGAGCACCGUUAAAUUGUUUGAGUUACAUAAACUUUGGAAGGUAAGUGUGAGAACUUGAGGGGAAGGGGGCACUGUCUUGCUUU
RNAcentral lists this long non-coding RNA (788 nucleotides) under Trifolium pratense (red clover). Its description in RNAcentral is "long non-coding RNA (TPRA_LNC007103)". The record is from RNAcentral. Lineage: Eukaryota; Viridiplantae; Streptophyta; Magnoliopsida; Fabales; Fabaceae.